Passer domesticus (house sparrow) is the source of this 473-nucleotide long non-coding RNA. RefSeq lists it as uncharacterized. NCBI's taxonomy places the organism in Eukaryota, Metazoa, Chordata, Aves, Passeriformes, Passeridae. The record is from RefSeq and is a predicted model, not a curated record. The transcript has 4 exons.
CAUAUUUCUUCAUUACGACAGCAAAUACCUUCUUGGAAGAAACCCCAAAGCACAGGAGUUAAAACAUAAUAGUGAAAAAGACACCAACCUCUUUUCUAAUUCCAGCCUUUUACAUUAAUAGAAGUGAUAUGGUGUUUAUGAAAGCUCUCUUAACACUGGACUGAUGACCACUGUAUUAUUAUAAAGGAGAAUUAAAAGAGAUGCAGCAGGUAUUCUGAUGUGGGAACACGUUUGAAACGUGUCUCUACAAGGUUUACUGAUACCAGCUAAAAUUUGAAGUUGAUAUCCGCUCCAGCCACAGUCAGAGAUACCAGCUAUUUCCCAGAGGAUUUGGAGUGGCAGUGGACAGCAGUGGAAGUUUGGUUGGAGAUGGUCAUUAUAAAGUUUGGUUUGUUUGGGCACAUUAAUCUGUACUAAUAUACUGCUCUGUUAGUGAUGAUGUGUGGGCAAAUGAAUGUGGGAACAACUUGAGA